This 671-nucleotide ribosomal RNA is filed under the name Clostridium perfringens. RNAcentral's name for it is "partial 23S ribosomal RNA". It matches the Rfam family "Bacterial large subunit ribosomal RNA", at positions 1 to 672 of the family's 2925-position model. The record is from RNAcentral. Lineage: Bacteria; Bacillati; Bacillota; Clostridia; Eubacteriales; Clostridiaceae.
AUAUAGGUCAAGCUACAAAGGGCGCAUGGUGAAUGCCUUGGCAUCAGGAGCCGAUGAAGGACGUGAUAAGCUGCGAUAAGCUUCGGGUAGGCGCACAUAGCCUGAGAUCCGAAGAUCUCCGAAUGAGGAAACUCACAUGGGAAACCCCAUGUAUCAUUAAGUGAAUACAUAGCUUAAUGAAGGUAACCCAGGGAACUGAAACAUCUAAGUACCUGGAGGAAGAGAAAGAAAAAUCGAUUUUCUUAGUAGCGGCGAGCGAAAGGGAAAGAGCCCAAACCGGAAACUUGUUUCCGGGGUUGUGGACAUAGCAUGAAAGUGGAGGCUAUUGUAACUGAAGAGAACUGGAAAGUUCCACCGUAGAAGGUAAUAGUCCUGUAAGUGAAACGAGAAGACCACGAGUUAUGAUCCAGAGUACCACGAGACACGUGAAACCUUGUGGGAAGCAGGGAGGACCACCUCCCAAGGCUAAAUACUACCUGAUGACCGAUAGUGAAGCAGUACCGUGAGGGAAAGGUGAAAAGAACCCCGGGAGGGGAGUGAAAUAGAACCUGAAACCGUGUGCCUACAACCGCUCAGAGCCCCUUAUGAGGGUGAUGAGGUGCUUUUUGUAGAACGAGCCAACGAGUUACGGUAUGUAGCAAGGUUAAGUACUUAAGGUACGGAGCCGAAGG